GAUGAACGCUAGCGGCAGGCUUAAUACAUGCAAGUCGAGGGGCAGCGGUGGUAGCAAUACCUGCCGGCGACCGGCAAACGGGUGCGGAACACGUACACAACCUUCCUUUAAGUGGGGGAUAGCCCAGAGAAAUUUGGAUUAAUACCCCGUAAGAUUAUGAGAUGGCAUCAUUUUAUAAUUAAAGCUCCGGCGCUUAGAGAUGGGUGUGCGGCUGAUUAGGUAGUUGGUGUGGGUAACGGCCCACCAAGCCUUCGAUCAGUAACUGGUGUGAGAGCACGACCAGUCACACGGGCACUGAGACACGGGCCCGACUCCUACGGGAGGCAGCAGUAAGGAAUAUUGGUCAAUGGACGCAAGUCUGAACCAGCCAUGCCGCGUGGAGGAUGAAGGUCCUC
RNAcentral lists this ribosomal RNA (395 nucleotides) under uncultured bacterium. RNAcentral's name for it is "bacterial SSU rRNA". It matches the Rfam family "Bacterial small subunit ribosomal RNA", at positions 28 to 419 of the family's 1533-position model. The record is from RNAcentral.